Molecule: transfer RNA, 74 nt
Filed under: Candidatus Omnitrophota bacterium
Lineage: Bacteria; Pseudomonadati; Candidatus Omnitrophota
Description: Candidatus Omnitrophica bacterium (groundwater metagenome) tRNA-Arg
Rfam family: tRNA
About the family: Transfer RNA (tRNA) molecules are approximately 80 nucleotides in length. Their secondary structure includes four short double-helical elements and three loops (D, anti-codon, and T loops). Further hydrogen bonds mediate the characteristic L-shaped molecular structure. tRNAs have two regions of fundamental functional importance: the anti-codon, which is responsible for specific mRNA codon recognition, and the 3' end, to which the tRNAs corresponding amino acid is attached (by aminoacyl-tRNA synthetases). tRNAs cope with the degeneracy of the genetic code in two manners: having more than one tRNA (with a specific anti-codon) for a particular amino acid; and 'wobble' base-pairing, i.e. permitting non-standard base-pairing at the 3rd anti-codon position.
Source: RNAcentral
GCGCCUGUAGCUCAAUUGGAUAGAGCGUCACCCUCCGGAGGUGAAGGUUACGUGUUCAACUCACGUCAGGCGCA